AAUCGCUAGUAAUCGCGUAACAGCAUGACGCGGUGAAUACGUUCCCGGGCCUUGUACACACCGCCCGUCACACCAUGGGAAUUGGAUCUACCCGAAGGUGGUGCGCCAACCAGCAAUGGAGGCAGCCAACCACGGUGGGUUCAGUGACUGGGGUGAAGUCGUAACAAGGUAGCCGUAGGGGAACCUGCGGCUGGAUCACCUCCUUUCUAAGG
This 212-nucleotide ribosomal RNA is filed under the name Rhodobacter sp. BACL10 MAG-120419-bin15. Its description in RNAcentral is "partial 16S ribosomal RNA". It matches the Rfam family "Bacterial small subunit ribosomal RNA", at positions 1330 to 1533 of the family's 1533-position model. The record is from RNAcentral. Lineage: Bacteria; Pseudomonadati; Pseudomonadota; Alphaproteobacteria; Rhodobacterales.